This 838-nucleotide ribosomal RNA is filed under the name Burkholderia sp. 5-13pA. RNAcentral's name for it is "bacterial SSU rRNA". It matches the Rfam family "Bacterial small subunit ribosomal RNA", at positions 52 to 887 of the family's 1533-position model. The record is from RNAcentral. Lineage: Bacteria; Pseudomonadati; Pseudomonadota; Betaproteobacteria; Burkholderiales; Burkholderiaceae.
CACAUGCAAGUCGAACGGCAGCACGGGGGCAACCCUGGUGGCGAGUGGCGAACGGGUGAGUAAUACAUCGGAACGUGUCCUGUAGUGGGGGAUAGCCCGGCGAAAGCCGGAUUAAUACCGCAUACGCUCUACGGAGGAAAGGGGGGGAUCUCAGGACCUCCCGCUACAGGGGCGGCCGAUGGCAGAUUAGCUAGUUGGUGGGGUAAAGGCCUACCAAGGCGACGAUCUGUAGCUGGUCUGAGAGGACGACCAGCCACACUGGGACUGAGACACGGCCCAGACUCCUACGGGAGGCAGCAGUGGGGAAUUUUGGACAAUGGGCGAAAGCCUGAUCCAGCAAUGCCGCGUGUGUGAAGAAGGCCUUCGGGUUGUAAAGCACUUUUGUCCGGAAAGAAAACCUCCGCCCUAAUAUGGUGGGGGGAUGACGGUACCGGAAGAAUAAGCACCGGCUAACUACGUGCCAGCAGCCGCGGUAAUACGUAGGGUGCAAGCGUUAAUCGGAAUUACUGGGCGUAAAGCGUGCGCAGGCGGUCCGCUAAGACAGAUGUGAAAUCCCCGGGCUUAACCUGGGAACUGCAUUUGUGACUGGCGGGCUAGAGUAUGGCAGAGGGGGGUAGAAUUCCACGUGUAGCAGUGAAAUGCGUAGAGAUGUGGAGGAAUACCGAUGGCGAAGGCAGCCCCCUGGGCCAAUACUGACGCUCAUGCACGAAAGCGUGGGGAGCAAACAGGAUUAGAUACCCUGGUAGUCCACGCCCUAAACGAUGUCAACUAGUUGUUGGGGAUUCAUUUCCUUAGUAACGUAGCUAACGCGUGAAGUUGACCGCCUGGGAGUACGGUC